Molecule: long non-coding RNA, 836 nt
Filed under: Olea europaea subsp. europaea
Lineage: Eukaryota; Viridiplantae; Streptophyta; Magnoliopsida; Lamiales; Oleaceae
Source: RNAcentral
GAAAAAAUAAACAUAGAAAAUUUUGUAUCUUGACAUGAUUUCAAUAAAAGAAAUUGAAUUUGAGAUAACUAGAAUUCAUAUUCCAUGUAAAACAUUUCCUCCCUUAGACGUUCAUUACAACAAUUUGAAGUAUACUAUUGCAUAGUAAUCCCGCAGCUAGACGAUAUCAUAUACAUACAAGUAAUAAAAGGAUAUCGAUUCCACGAAGACAUAAUCUACUUAUUAUAGCUUUGAUGAAGAAACACAUCCAAUUAUUUCUAUUCGAUUUUGAUAUUGUCUACUUGUUAACUAAAAUAAGUAAUUAACAAGCAACAAAGCCUUAGAAGACUAAGUAGAAAUCAAAUCCAAAAUAAACUAAAGCUUCCUUUUAAGUAAGGAAGUAUAUCAAAUAAUUUAAAUAGACAUGGUUUUUAUCGCCUUAUAAAUGAGAGAAACAAAAUACAUAAUGGCAAUAGUUAUUGGAGGCAAAAUGUGAUAGCUAACUAAUUAUUCAGGCGACUUUGUUCCUUCGAGUCUUCCCAUUUUUGUAACCGACGCUGCGCGUUCUGCACCUGAAAGUUACACGAAGUGUUCGAUUAAAUUGAGAAUUGGCAAGAAGACUCGGAUUGGUUCUCUUUGCUCUCCACAAAUUUCUUAUCUUAUUUUAACUAAAUGUAAAUAUUUAUAGUGAAAAUUCAAAUAUAAUUACACUCUAAGGUACUAAAAUCUUAAUGGUUAAUAUAAAAUAUAAAACAAUGUGAAAUAGGUACCUCCUUUUUCCAGUCAGUCCGAAUCGUGACCCAUAAUAAGAUUAUGGUCUGCAGGACAGUGCCUCCCAGCAUGCCUAACCAUAUUCC